RNAcentral lists this ribosomal RNA (479 nucleotides) under uncultured bacterium. Its description in RNAcentral is "partial 16S ribosomal RNA". It matches the Rfam family "Bacterial small subunit ribosomal RNA", at positions 28 to 523 of the family's 1533-position model. The record is from RNAcentral.
GACGAACGCUGGCGGCGUGCUUAACACAUGCAAGUCGAGCGAUGAAGCACCUUCGGGUGUGAAUUAGCGGCGAACGGGUGAGGAACACGUGAAGAAUCUGCCUUCAACUCUGGGAUAACUCCGGGAAACCGGGGCUAAUACCGGAUAUGAGCCUUGAUCGCAUGAUCGGGGCUGGAAAGUUUUUCGGUUGAAGAUGACUUCGCGGCCUAUCAGCUUGUUGGUGAGGUAAUGGCUCACCAAGGCGACGACGGGUAGCCGGCCUGAGAGGGCGACCGGCCACACUGGGACUGAGACACGGCCCAGACUCCGACGGGAGGCAGCAGUGGGGAAUAUUGGACAAUGGAGGAAACUCUGACCCAGCGACGCCGCGUGGGGGAUGAAGGCCUUCGGGUUGUAAACCUCUUUCAGUAGGGAAGAAGCGAAAGUGACGGUACCUACAGAAGAAGCACCGGCUAACUAUGUGCCAGCCGCCGCCGUAA